Molecule: ribosomal RNA, 799 nt
Filed under: Staphylococcus pseudintermedius
Lineage: Bacteria; Bacillati; Bacillota; Bacilli; Caryophanales; Staphylococcaceae
Description: bacterial SSU rRNA
Rfam family: Bacterial small subunit ribosomal RNA
Source: RNAcentral
GAUGAACGCUGGCGGCGUGCCUAAUACAUGCAAGUCGAGCGAACAGAUAAGGAGCUUGCUCCUUUGACGUUAGCGGCGGACGGGUGAGUAACACGUGGGUAACCUACCUAUAAGACUGGAAUAACUCCGGGAAACCGGGGCUAAUGCCGGAUAACAUGUUGAACCGCAUGGUUCUACAGUGAAAGACGGUCUUGCUGUCACUUAUAGAUGGACCCGCGCCGUAUUAGCUAGUUGGUGGGGUAACGGCCUACCAAGGCGACGAUACGUAGCCGACCUGAGAGGGUGAUCGGCCACACUGGAACUGAGACACGGUCCAGACUCCUACGGGAGGCAGCAGUAGGGAAUCUUCCGCAAUGGGCGAAAGCCUGACGGAGCAACGCCGCGUGAGUGAUGAAGGUCUUCGGAUCGUAAAGCUCUGUUGUUAGGGAAGAACAAAUGUGUAAGUAACUGUGCACAUCUUGACGGUACCUAACCAGAAAGCCACGGCUAACUACGUGCCAGCAGCCGCGGUAAUACGUAGGUGGCAAGCGUUAUCCGGAAUUAUUGGGCGUAAAGCGCGCGUAGGCGGUUUUUUAAGUCUGAUGUGAAAGCCCACGGCUCAACCGUGGAGGGUCAUUGGAAACUGGAAAACUUGAGUGCAGAAGAGGAAAGUGGAAUUCCAUGUGUAGCGGUGAAAUGCGCAGAGAUAUGGAGGAACACCAGUGGCGAAGGCGGCUUUCUGGUCUGCAACUGACGCUGAUGUGCGAAAGCGUGGGGAUCAAACAGGAUUAGAUACCCUGGUAGUCCACGCCGUAAACGA